This 323-nucleotide ribosomal RNA is filed under the name Calcinus tibicen. Its description in RNAcentral is "partial small subunit ribosomal RNA". The record is from RNAcentral. Lineage: Eukaryota; Metazoa; Arthropoda; Malacostraca; Decapoda; Diogenidae.
UAAAACUACCUGAUUAGUAACAGCUAUGUGCUCUAAAUUCAAAGAAUUUGGCGGUAUUUUAUUCUUAUUAGGGGAACCUGUCUCUUAAACGAUAAACCACGCAAAAUCUAACCUGUUUUCUAUAGUUUGUAUACCGUCAUUGAAAUAACCCUCAAAGAGAUAGUUAUUAAAAUAAAUUAUUUUAGAAUGUUAGAUCAAGGUGCAGCAAAUAAACAGGCGCAGAUGGGUUACAAUAUAACUUAUAUACUACGGAACAACUUUCGAACGAAAGUUUUUAAGGCGGACUUAAAAGUAAAACUGGUUUAAUAAGCCAGCUUGAUUUU